RNAcentral lists this ribosomal RNA (856 nucleotides) under uncultured bacterium. RNAcentral's name for it is "bacterial SSU rRNA". It matches the Rfam family "Bacterial small subunit ribosomal RNA", at positions 8 to 863 of the family's 1533-position model. The record is from RNAcentral.
AGAGUUUGAUCUCUGGCUCAGGAUGAACGCUGGCGGCGUGCCUAACACAUGCAAGUCGAGCGAAGCACUUUACUUGAUUUCUUCGGAUUGAAGGUAUAGUGACUGAGCGGCGGACGGGUGAGUAACGCGUGGGUAACCUGCCUCAUACAGGGGGAUAACAGUUAGAAAUGACUGCUAAUACCGCAUAAGACCACAGCACCGCAUGGUGCGGGGGUAAAAACUCCGGUGGUAUGAGAUGGACCCGCGUCUGAUUAGCUAGUUGGUAAGGUAAGGGCUUACCAAGGCGACGAUCAGUAGCCGACCUGAGAGGGUGACCGGCCACAUUGGGACUGAGACACGGCCCAAACUCCUACGGGAGGCAGCAGUGGGGAAUAUUGCACAAUGGGGGAAACCCUGAUGCAGCGACGCCGCGUGAGUGAUGAAGUAUUUCGGUAUGUAAAGCUCUAUCAGCAGGGAAGAAAAUGACGGUACCUGACUAAGAAGCACCGGCUAAAUACGUGCCAGCAGCCGCGGUAAUACGUAUGGUGCAAGCGUUAUCCGGAUUUACUGGGUGUAAAGGGAGCGUAGACGGAGAGGCAAGUCUGAUGUGAAAACCCGGGGCUCAACCCCGGGACUGCAUUGGAAACUGUUUUUCUAGAGUGUCGGAGAGGCAAGUGGAAUUCCUAGUGUAGCGGUGAAAUGCGUAGAUAUUAGGAGGAACACCAGUGGCGAAGGCGGCUUGCUGGACGAUGACUGACGUUGAGGCUCGAAAGCGUGGGGAGCAAACAGGAUUAGAUACCCUGGUAGUCCACGCCGUAAACGAUGACUACUAGGUGUCGGGUGGCAAAGCCAUUCGGUGCCGCAGCAAACGCAAUAA